CCCUUAGACGUUCUGGGCCGCACGCGCGCUACACUGACGAAGGCAACGAGCUUUCCUUUACCGAAAGGUACGGGUAAUCUUUUGAAACUUCGUCGUGCUGGGGAUAGAUCCUUGCAAUUUUUGAUCUUAAACGAGGAAUGCCUAGUAAGCGCAAGUCAUCAACUUGCGUUGAUUACGUCCCUGCCCUUUGUACACACCGCCCGUCGCACCUACCGAUUGAAUGGUCCGGUGAAGCCUCCGGAUUGGCGCGCACCUCGGUGCCGCCGAGAAGUUGGCUAAACCUUACCAUUUAGAGGAAGGUGAAGUCGUAACA
RNAcentral lists this ribosomal RNA (313 nucleotides) under uncultured eukaryote. RNAcentral's name for it is "partial 18S ribosomal RNA". It matches the Rfam family "Eukaryotic small subunit ribosomal RNA", at positions 1470 to 1796 of the family's 1831-position model. The record is from RNAcentral.